GCCCAUCCUAUAAACUGAGACCCGCAGAGACAGGUUAAGAAGAGACUGACCGGGAGACAAGGAAAGUGAGUGUUGAGUACAGGUGGAAGGAGGUAUGGCACUGUGCUUCCAAGCCAGGGAGGUGGCCUCGUGCUGUGUGCCUGGGUGUGGGCCAGGCCUGCUCAGGCCUCCUGCCACCGUGGCCGUUGGAAACGUGUCUGUCUCCACACUGACUGUGGAUCUAUGCCCUUGAGGACAGACUUAUGCCGUCAGAAAACACUUGUUGACUUGAACAUGUGAACUUCGUUCUACAUCAAGAAGGAUUAAUGGGUGGGGCACAAACAGGAAACAGAUUAGUUUGGCUCAGACUUUUGUCUGGA
This 359-nucleotide long non-coding RNA is filed under the name Pan troglodytes (chimpanzee). RNAcentral's name for it is "long non-coding RNA NONPTRT001399". The record is from RNAcentral. Lineage: Eukaryota; Metazoa; Chordata; Mammalia; Primates; Hominidae.